Molecule: ribosomal RNA, 448 nt
Filed under: uncultured bacterium
Lineage: Bacteria
Description: bacterial SSU rRNA
Rfam family: Bacterial small subunit ribosomal RNA
Source: RNAcentral
UCGCGUGAGGGAAGACGGCCCUACGGGUUGUAAACCUCUUUUGUCAGGGAGCAAGAGGCGGGUCGAGACCUGCUGUGAGAGUACCUGAAGAAAAAGCAUCGGCUAACUCCGUGCCAGCAGCCGCGGUAAUACGGAGGAUGCGAGCGUUAUCCGGAUUUAUUGGGUUUAAAGGGUGCGCAGGCGGAGGCACAAGUCAGCGGUAAAAUCGCGGGGCUCAACCCCGCUCCGCCGUUGAAACUGUGUCCCUUGAGUGCGCGAAGGGUAGGCGGAAUGCGUGGUGUAGCGGUGAAAUGCAUAGAUAUCACGCAGAACUCCGAUCGCGAAGGCAGCCUACCGGCGCGCAACUGACGCUCAUGCACGAAAGCGUGGGUAUCGAACAGGAUUAGAUACCCUGGUAGUCCACGCAGUAAACGAUGAAUGCUAUCUGUCCGGCCGGAAUGACGGCUGG